GCCACAUCACCCGCACCUCUGGGGGUUACAGGAGACUAUCCACAGAAGAGCCCUAGUCGGCUUUAGAAAUAGGUAGGUCACGGUAGAAGAAGAGCAUAUAUAGUAGAUUAAAAGGCUUAAAGGACCACUAUAGUGCCAGGAAAACAUACUCGUUUUCCUGGCACUAUAGUGCCCUGAGGGUGCCCCCACCCUCAGGGUCCCACUCCCGCACAGCUCUGGAAAGGGGAAAAAGGGGUUAAACUUAC
Non-coding RNA from Pelobates cultripes (western spadefoot toad), 245 nucleotides. The record is from the annotation of a GenBank genome assembly. NCBI's taxonomy places the organism in Eukaryota, Metazoa, Chordata, Amphibia, Anura, Pelobatidae.